This is a long non-coding RNA of Puntigrus tetrazona (Sumatra barb), 1194 nucleotides long. RefSeq lists it as uncharacterized. The transcript has 3 exons. The record is from RefSeq and is a predicted model, not a curated record. Lineage: Eukaryota; Metazoa; Chordata; Actinopteri; Cypriniformes; Cyprinidae.
AAGACAAUAUUAUGUUCCACUGAGAGGUUAAGAACAUAUCUACCUGGGUGAAAGGUGCCUGAGAUACUAGUUUAUAGGACUGACACAUCUCAACAAACUAAUUCAGAAAGUUCAAGGAUCUAAAAGAUCUUCAUUCGGGACUCAACAUUGAUCAGAAUGGUCCAGGUUACAGAGGUGCUGGUCUUUCUCUGCGUCCUGAUUGGAUGGUCACAGGCUUUUCCACAUCAUGAUGUCUUCACAGAGAAUGAAGCAAACAAAAAUGCCGGCAAAACAGAGAUAGAAAGACGAGAUCUGACUGUGCUGGAUUUUACUCCUCCAUAGUGUCGCGCCGUCAAUAUGAGUGCACUUUGUCGUUCCUUUGAUUAUCACGAUGAACUGAAAGUGUCUUAUAUCGUGACAGAUGUUGAUGGCUCAGGAAUCGAUCACAUCCGUGUUUUUGGCAAUGACCCCAUGUGUUUAAUCAACACAAAAGAAUAUAACGGUCUAGACGACAAUCGCAACGCUGCGACCAUCCUUUAUUUUUCCAGCAGCUGCUGCUAUGAUGAUGUGGUGAUUCUUGCGGUGGACAAGGCAGGACACACAAGCAAGUGUCCUCCUGCUCUACAACGUGUUACCACAACCAUCACACCCACAUCCACUAGCUCCAUCACAACCAGCUCUCUUCGGUUGACUUCAAUACUGAUCACACUUAAAUCCAUGCUUCUCUAAGACGGACGUGCACUUUAAGUAGCCUACGUCACUUCGUUUUUACACUUGUGAUUACAAUUAUUUCCACACAUUUUCAAAAUACAUUUAAAUCACUUGAUGUCACUAUUAAAUGUUCACCCAAAAAUGACAGCUUGAUGUUUAUCUGCUUACAACGCAUUCAAGAUGUUUCUUUUAUAUAUAUAUAUACACACACAGAGAUUUAUUUGUAGAUCCUUGCCUAUGCAUAUGUGCCAGAGCCCAUUGUUGUGAAUGAUUUCAAGACAAUUGGACAUUGUGGUGUAUUAGAGGUACAUAAAUAUCAUUCAGUUUCCUGCACAAUCUGACCUCAAUGUAUUAUCACAAGCAGCAGGGUUUAAUUUGGAUUUGUUUGUGCAGGUUUGUUUUUACUCAGAUUGUGUACCAAUUGACUUACAUUAUAUGACUGACAGAUGACUUGCUCUAUUUUAUGGUAAAUAAAUGUUGUUUCUGAUCAAAGAGAGAAAUUAA